Molecule: long non-coding RNA, 763 nt
Filed under: Nicotiana tabacum (common tobacco)
Lineage: Eukaryota; Viridiplantae; Streptophyta; Magnoliopsida; Solanales; Solanaceae
Description: long non-coding RNA (NTAB_LNC007827)
Source: RNAcentral
CCAAAUUUUUGUGUGCUAUGGCCCAUGCCUUCCGCUUUGGGCCCGGAUGGAUCCGUCUUGGAAUGGCCUAAUAUUUGUCCCGGACAUCAAAUACUGCCUAAGAAACCAUUUCCAAUGCCCCGAAAUGACCAAAUUAUAUUUUUUGGCAUUUUACAGCCAUAAAACUGCAAAUCCGCGCGAGUCCCAAAUUUUGUGUGCUAUAGCCCAUGCCUUCCGCUUUGGGCCCGGAUGGAUCCAUCUUGGAAUGGCCUAAUAUUUGUCCCGGACAUCAAAUACGGCCUAAGAAACCAUUUCCAAUGCCCCAAAAAUGACCAAAUUAUAUUUUUUGGCAUUUUACACCCAUAAAACUGCAAAUCCGCGCGAGUCUCAAAUUUUUGUGUGCGAUAACCCAUGCCUUCCGCUUUGGGCCCGGAUGGAUCCGUCUUGGAAUCGCCGAAUAUUUGUCCCGAACAUCAAAUACGGCCUAAGAAACCAUUGCCACUACCCCGAAAUGACCAAAUUAUAUUUUUUGGCAUUUUAUAGCCAUAAAACUGCAAAUCCGUGCGACUCCCAAAUUUUGUGUGUUAUACCCCAUGCCUUCCGCCUUGGGCCCAGAUGGAUCCGUCCUGGAAUCGCCUAAUAUUUAUCUCGGACAUCAAAUACGGCCUAACAAAACAAUUUCCAAUGCCCCGAAAUGGUCUGUCCGAUUCGGACAGACCUCAACUUUUGGUCUUUUUAGGGUUCUUGGUGGUCUGAUUUGGAAUUCGUUCAGUUCUGGUCAGAU